Molecule: ribosomal RNA, 253 nt
Filed under: uncultured bacterium
Lineage: Bacteria
Description: partial 16S ribosomal RNA
Rfam family: Bacterial small subunit ribosomal RNA
Source: RNAcentral
UACGGAGGGUGCGAGCGUUGUCCGGAAUCAUUGGGCGUAAAGCGCGUGUAGGCGGCCCGGUAAGUCCGCUGUGAAAGUCGGGGGCUCAACCCUCGGAUGCCGGUGGAUACUGUCGGGCUCGAGUACGGAAGAGGCGAGUGGAAUUCCUGGUGUAGCGGUGAAAUGCGCAGAUAUCUGGAGGAACACCGGUGGCGAAGGCGGCAUCCUGGACCGGCAUUGACGCUGAGGCGCGAAAGCCAGGGGAGCAAACGGG